Molecule: ribosomal RNA, 182 nt
Filed under: uncultured Eubacteriales bacterium
Lineage: Bacteria; Bacillati; Bacillota; Clostridia; Eubacteriales
Description: uncultured Clostridiales bacterium partial 16S ribosomal RNA
Rfam family: Bacterial small subunit ribosomal RNA
Source: RNAcentral
GGAAACCGGGAUUAAUACCAAAUAAAAUCAUAAUGACACAUGUCAUAACGAUCAAAACUCCGGUGGUCUAAGAUGGACUCGCGUCCCAUUAGCUAGUUGGUAGAGUAAAAGCCUACCAAGGCGACGAUGGGUAGCCGGCCUGAGAGGGUGAACGGCCACGUUGGGACUGAGAUACGGCCCAG